Molecule: long non-coding RNA, 438 nt
Filed under: Hordeum vulgare
Lineage: Eukaryota; Viridiplantae; Streptophyta; Magnoliopsida; Poales; Poaceae
Description: long non-coding RNA (HVUL_LNC020663)
Source: RNAcentral
UUAAUCCAAAAUAAAUAUCUGUUGUGGCCGCAUUUUUGUUACCUUGACAAUGUUUUUCACUGACCGCUGCAACAAAAGGGUUGCACAUUACUAUCAUACCUCAAUGUUUUGUACUCACAUGGGUGACACAUAGUGUACGAAUAGUCCCUUCUAAAUCUCCAUUAUAGGCAUAGGUUUGAUUUUAUACCACUUUAGUAUGCACCAUUUUUUUCUUGAGUAUAUGUGAGUUCGUGUUGGCUUACUUCCAUUCAUACUCCCCCGUCCACGAAAAAUUGUAUCCACACCGAUGGAGAGAGUGCCCUACUUCCGCCGUUUUGUUUACACUGCAAGAAUGGUUGUCUCCACCUCCGGUGAGGUUGUAGUGAGCUAUCGACAACAAUGUCACAGCCAUGUGAGUCCAUUUGUUCUACUCCAUCCGCGACACGGUUGUAGAUCUUU